Molecule: ribosomal RNA, 1963 nt
Filed under: Escherichia coli KTE57
Lineage: Bacteria; Pseudomonadati; Pseudomonadota; Gammaproteobacteria; Enterobacterales; Enterobacteriaceae
Description: bacterial LSU rRNA
Rfam family: Bacterial large subunit ribosomal RNA
Source: RNAcentral
UUAAGCGACUAAGCGUACACGGUGGAUGCCCUGGCAGUCAGAGGCGAUGAAGGACGUGCUAAUCUGCGAUAAGCGUCGGUGAGGUGAUAUGAACCGUUAUAACCGGCGAUUUCCGAAUGGGGAAACCCAGUGUGUUUCGACACACUAUCAUUAACUGAAUCCAUAGGUUAAUGAGGCGAACCGGGGGAACUGAAACAUCUAAGUACCCCGAGGAAAAGAAAUCAACCGAGAUUCCCCCAGUAGCGGCGAGCGAACGGGGAGGAGCCCAGAGCCUGAAUCAGUGUGUGUGUUAGUGGAAGCGUCUGGAAAGGCGCGCGAUACAGGGUGACAGCCCCGUACACAAAAAUGCACAUAUUGUGAGCUCGAUGAGUAGGGCGGGACACGUGGUAUCCUGUCUGAAUAUGGGGGGACCAUCCUCCAAGGCUAAAUACUCCUGACUGACCGAUAGUGAACCAGUACCGUGAGGGAAAGGCGAAAAGAACCCCGGCGAGGGGAGUGAAAAAGAACCUGAAACCGUGUACGUACAAGCAGUGGGAGCCUCUUAAUGGGGUGACUGCGUACCUUUUGUAUAAUGGGUCAGCGACUUAUAUUCUGUAGCAAGGUUAACCGAAUAGGGGAGCCGAAGGGAAACCGAGUCUUAACUGGGCGUUAAGUUGCAGGGUAUAGACCCGAAACCCGGUGAUCUAGCCAUGGGCAGGUUGAAGGUUGGGUAACACUAACUGGAGGACCGAACCGACUAAUGUUGAAAAAUUAGCGGAUGACUUGUGGCUGGGGGUGAAAGGCCAAUCAAACCGGGAGAUAGCUGGUUCUCCCCGAAAGCUAUUUAGGUAGCGCCUCGUGAAUUCAUCUCCGGGGGUAGAGCACUGUUUCGGCAAGGGGGUCAUCCCGACUUACCAACCCGAUGCAAACUGCGAAUACCGGAGAAUGUUAUCACGGGAGACACACGGCGGGUGCUAACGUCCGUCGUGAAGAGGGAAACAACCCAGACCGCCAGCUAAGGUCCCAAAGUCAUGGUUAAGUGGGAAACGAUGUGGGAAGGCCCAGACAGCCAGGAUGUUGGCUUAGAAGCAGCCAUCAUUUAAAGAAAGCGUAAUAGCUCACUGGUCGAGUCGGCCUGCGCGGAAGAUGUAACGGGGCUAAACCAUGCACCGAAGCUGCGGCAGCGACGCUUAUGCGUUGUUGGGUAGGGGAGCGUUCUGUAAGCCUGUGAAGGUGGCCUGUGAGGGUUGCUGGAGGUAUCAGAAGUGCGAAUGCUGACAUAAGUAACGAUAAAGCGGGUGAAAAGCCCGCUCGCCGGAAGACCAAGGGUUCCUGUCCAACGUUAAUCGGGGCAGGGUGAGUCGACCCCUAAGGCGAGGCCGAAAGGCGUAGUCGAUGGGAAACAGGUUAAUAUUCCUGUACUUGGUGUUACUGCGAAGGGGGGACGGAGAAGGCUAUGUUGGCCGGGCGACGGUUGUCCCGGUUUAAGCGUGUAGGCUGGUUUUCCAGGCAAAUCCGGAAAACCAAGGCUGAGGCGUGAUGACGAGGCACUACGGUGCUGAAGCGACAAAUGCCCUGCUUCCAGGAAAAGCCUCUAAGCAUCAGGUAACAUCAAAUCGUACCCCAAACCGACACAGGUGGUCAGGUAGAGAAUACCAAGGCGCUUGAGAGAACUCGGGUGAAGGAACUAGGCAAAAUGGUGCCGUAACUUCGGGAGAAGGCACGCUGAUAUGUAGGUGAAGCGACUAGCUCGUGGAGCUGAAAUCAGUCGAAGAUACCAGCUGGCUGCAACUGUUUAUUAAAAACACAGCACUGUGCAAACACGAAAGUGGACGUAUACGGUGUGACGCCUGCCCGGUGCCGGAAGGUUAAUUGAUGGGGUUAGCGGUAACGCGAAGCUCUUGAUCGAAGCCCCGGUAAACGGCGGCCGUAACUAUAACGGUCCUAAGGUAGCGAAAUUCCUUGUCGGGUAAGUUCCGACCUG